RNAcentral lists this ribosomal RNA (462 nucleotides) under uncultured Acidovorax sp. RNAcentral's name for it is "bacterial SSU rRNA". It matches the Rfam family "Bacterial small subunit ribosomal RNA", at positions 920 to 1382 of the family's 1533-position model. The record is from RNAcentral. Lineage: Bacteria; Pseudomonadati; Pseudomonadota; Betaproteobacteria; Burkholderiales; Comamonadaceae.
CCCGCACAAGCGGUGGAGCAUGUGGUUUAAUUCGAUGCAACGCGAAGAACCUUACCUAGGCUUGACAUCCCUGGAAUUUUGUGGAAACACAAAAGUGCCUUUCGGGGAACCAGGAGACAGGUGCUGCAUGGCUGCCGUCAGCUCGUGUCGUGAGAUGUUGGGUUAAGUCCCGCAACGAGCGCAACCCUUGUCAUUAGUUGCUACAUUCAGUUGGGCACUCUAAUGAGACUGCCGGUGACAAACCGGAGGAAGGUGGGGAUGACGUCAAGUCCUCAUGGCCCUUAUAGGUGGGGCUACACACGUCAUACAAUGGAUGGUACAAAGGGUCGCCAACCCGCGAGGGGGAGCCAAUCCCAUAAAGCCAUUCGUAGUCCGGAUCGCAGUCUGCAACUCGACUGCGUGAAGUCGGAAUCGCUAGUAAUCGUGGAUCAGAAUGUCACGGUGAAUACGUUCCCGGGUCUU